GAGUUUGAUCCUGGCUCAGGAUGAACGCUAGCUACAGGCUUAACACAUGCAAGUCGAGGGGCAUCAGGAAGAAAGCUUGCUUUCUUUGCUGGCGACCGGCGCACGGGUGAGUAACACGUAUCCAACCUGCCCUUUACUCGGGGAUAGCCUUUCGAAAGAAAGAUUAAUACCCGAUAGCAUAAUGAUUCCGCAUGGUUUCAUUAUUAAAGGAUUCCGGUAAAGGAUGGGGAUGCGUUCCAUUAGGUUGUUGGUGAGGUAACGGCUCACCAAGCCUUCGAUGGAUAGGGGUUCUGAGAGGAAGGUCCCCCACAUUGGAACUGAGACACGGUCCAAACUCCUACGGGAGGCAGCAGUGAGGAAUAUUGGUCAAUGGGCGCUAGCCUGAACCAGCCAAGUAGCGUGAAGGAUGAAGGCUCUAUGGGUCGUAAACUUCUUUUAUAUAAGAAUAAAGUGCAGUAUGUAUACUGUUUUGUAUGUAUUAUAUGAAUAAGGAUCGGCUAACUCCGUGCCAGCAGCCGCGGUAAUACGGAGGAUCCGAGCGUUAUCCGGAUUUAUUGGGUUUAAAGGGAGCGUAGGUGGACUGGUAAGUCAGUUGUGAAAGUUUGCGGCUCAACCGUAAAAUUGCAGUUGAUACUGUCAGUCUUGAGUACAGUAGAGGUGGGCGGAAUUCGUGGUGUAGCGGUGAAAUGCUUAGAUAUCACGAAGAACUCCGAUUGCGAAGGCAGCUCACUGGACUGCAACUGACACUGAUGCUCGAAAGUGUGGGUAUCAAACAGGAUUAGAUACCCUGGUAGUCCACACAGUAAACGAUGAAUACUCGCUGUUUGCGAUAUACAGUAAGCGGCCAAGCGAAAGCAUUAAGUAUUCCACCUGGGGAGUACGCCGGCAACGGUGAAACUCAAAGGAAUUGACGGGGGCCCGCACAAGCGGAGGAACAUGUGGUUUAAUUCGAUGAUACGCGAGGAACCUUACCCGGGCUUAAAUUGCAGUGGAAUGAUGUGGAAACAUGUCAGUGAGCAAUCACCGCUGUGAAGGUGCUGCAUGGUUGUCGUCAGCUCGUGCCGUGAGGUGUCGGCUUAAGUGCCAUAACGAGCGCAACCCUUAUCUUCAGUUACUAACAGGUUAUGCUGAGGACUCUGGAGAGACUGCCGUCGUAAGAUGUGAGGAAGGUGGGGAUGACGUCAAAUCAGCACGGCCCUUACGUCCGGGGCUACACACGUGUUACAAUGGGGGGUACAGAAGGCAGCUAGCGGGUGACCGUAUGCUAAUCCCAAAAUCCUCUCUCAGUUCGGAUCGAAGUCUGCAACCCGACUUCGUGAAGCUGGAUUCGCUAGUAAUCGCGCAUCAGCCACGGCGCGGUGAAUACGUUCCCGGGCCUUGUACACACCGCCCGUCAAGCCAUGGGAGCCGGGGGUACCUGAAGUACGUAACCGCAAGGAUCGUCCUAGGGUAAAACUGGUGACUGGGGCUAAGUCGUAACAAGGUAGCCGUACCGGAAGGUGCGGCUGGAACACC
RNAcentral lists this ribosomal RNA (1515 nucleotides) under Bacteroides fragilis str. 1007-1-F #7. RNAcentral's name for it is "bacterial SSU rRNA". It matches the Rfam family "Bacterial small subunit ribosomal RNA". Lineage: Bacteria; Pseudomonadati; Bacteroidota; Bacteroidia; Bacteroidales; Bacteroidaceae. RNAcentral also lists the same sequence under 2 other names. The record is from RNAcentral.